AGACCCGAAACCCGGUGAUCUAGCCAUGGGCAGGUUGAAGGUUGGGUAACACUAACUGGAGGACCGAACCGACUAAUGUUGAAAAAUUAGCGGAUGACCUGUGGCUGGGGGUGAAAGGCCAAUCAAACCGGGAGAUAGCUGGUUCUCCCCGAAAGCUAUUUAGGUAGCGCCUCGUGAAUUCAUCUCCGGGGGUAGAGCACUGUUUCGGCUAGGGGGCCAUCCCGGCUUACCAACCCGAUGCAAACUGCGAAUACCGGAGAAUGUUAUCACGGGAGACACACGGCGGGUGCUAACGUCCGUCGUGAAGAGGGAAACAACCCAGACCGCCAGCUAAGGUCCCAAAGUCAUGGUUAAGUGGGAAACGAUGUGGGAAGGCCCAGACAGCCAGGAUGUUGGCUUAGAAGCAGCCAUCAUUUAAAGAAAGCGUAAUAGCUCACUGGUCGAGUCGGCCUGCGCGGAAGAUGUAACGGGGCUAAACCAUGCACCGAAGCUGCGGCAGCGACACUGUGUGUUGUUGGGUAGGGGAGCGUUCUGUAAGCCUGUGAAGGUGGCCUGUGAGGGUUGCUGGAGGUAUCAGAAGUGCGAAUGCUGACAUAAGUAACGAUAAAGCGGGUGAAAAGCCCGCUCGCCGGAAGACCAAGGGUUCCUGUCCAACGUUAAUCGGGGCAGGGUGAGUCGACCCCUAAGGCGAGGCCGAAAGGCGUAGUCGAUGGGAAACGGGUUAAUAUUCCCGUACUUGGUGUUACUGCGAAGGGGGGACGGAGAAGGCUAUGUUGGCCGGGCGACGGUUGUCCCGGUUUAAGCGUGUAGGUGUGUGUUCCAGGUAAAUCCGGUUCACUUUAACAC
This 846-nucleotide ribosomal RNA is filed under the name Salmonella enterica. Its description in RNAcentral is "partial 23S ribosomal RNA". It matches the Rfam family "Bacterial large subunit ribosomal RNA", at positions 711 to 1556 of the family's 2925-position model. The record is from RNAcentral. Lineage: Bacteria; Pseudomonadati; Pseudomonadota; Gammaproteobacteria; Enterobacterales; Enterobacteriaceae. RNAcentral also lists the same sequence under 2 other names.